Long non-coding RNA from Heterocephalus glaber (naked mole-rat), 822 nucleotides. RefSeq lists it as uncharacterized. NCBI's taxonomy places the organism in Eukaryota, Metazoa, Chordata, Mammalia, Rodentia, Bathyergidae. The record is from RefSeq and is a predicted model, not a curated record.
CAUAACCUGAGUCUCCAUGUGACAGAAAAGCCUAUGGCCCAAACUGGUUGGGCUGGACUCUACCAUGUGAUCUUACCUCAGCUGUCCAGAGUGCUAGGAUGACAGCCUAAUUCAAGGAGCCAGAGAAGCUCGGUGUUGCUGCUGUCUUCAAAGACAACCUAGGGCUCCCACUGCCCUCAGCUUGGUCCACUGGCUCCAUGAAGGAGGGUCCAAACCAAAUCACCAUGGGCUCCCAAACCCUCAGUGAGAGAAUAGACCACCACCUCUGUGACUAGUUGAUUUUGUCAACAUUUGUUUAAGGCACAAGGUCUCAGAUGAACAGGAGUAAGGAGAGAGUCUCAUCUAGCUUACUCCCCUCUCCCUUGAUCCCAUGUCUGAUGAGGCUAGAGCUCAAGACUAGACUUCUGGAACUCAAGACAUCCAUAAAGGAGAUUAAGGAGUCUCCAGGGCUUUUCCAGCCAACCGAGUAACACCAUCCUUCUUCAGCGAUUUUAAUGUCUGUCUUCAGAUUUUGCACUCCUCAUUCUCCUCUAGCCAAACCACCAGACAAGAUAAGUCCACAGAAACAGCAGUCUCCUUUGCACUCGUUUCUGAUGCGUUGUGAGGAUGAAGUGAUUAGUCACUAUCGGAAAUAGCCAGAGUAAAUCAAAUUCACAUCCGGUCAUGAAGAAUUACUUCUUCCGGAUUAGGGUUGUAAAGCAGUACUGGGUAAUGAAGCCAAACAAAUCCUCCUAUGAAAUUAAAUAAAAAUCUUGACCAGCCCUGCUUAUAUCCUAGCUCUGACACUCUCUAAAUAUGCAAUUGCGGACGAGUCCCUUUUCU